Molecule: long non-coding RNA, 254 nt
Filed under: Phoenix dactylifera (date palm)
Lineage: Eukaryota; Viridiplantae; Streptophyta; Magnoliopsida; Arecales; Arecaceae
Description: long non-coding RNA (PDAC_LNC001315)
Source: RNAcentral
UGUGUUUAAGGGUGGUGGGGCCCUUUGUAGACAGCAUUUUUUGAGUUGCUAAUCUCAAUUAUUUAAAGUUGUUUUAUUUAUAAGGGUCGUUGGUCUUAGUUUAGCGUUCUCUAUGUUCCAAUUGUUUUAAUAUUAAACCUUGAGAACAUAUUCUAAGUUUUCAUAUACAUUUUUACGAUGCCAAAACACUCCAAAGCUAUAACUUAGCUCACCAUAAGGAUACAGACUUGGAUGGGAAGUGCCAACUAUAGGAU